GUUAAAACACCGGUUCUCGUACGAUCCCCGAAGUUAAGCAACGUCGAACCGUGUCAGUACCUAGAUCGUUGACCACCUGGGCGCACCAGGU
Acanthosepion pharaonis is the source of this 91-nucleotide non-coding RNA. Lineage: Eukaryota; Metazoa; Mollusca; Cephalopoda; Sepiida; Sepiidae. The record is from the annotation of a GenBank genome assembly.